RNAcentral lists this ribosomal RNA (500 nucleotides) under uncultured Glomeromycotina. RNAcentral's name for it is "partial small subunit ribosomal RNA". It matches the Rfam family "Eukaryotic small subunit ribosomal RNA", at positions 591 to 1092 of the family's 1831-position model. The record is from RNAcentral. Lineage: Eukaryota; Fungi; Glomeromycota.
CCAAUAGCGUAUAUUAAAGUUGUUGCAGUUAAAAAGCUCGUAGUUGAAUUUCGGGAUUAGUAGAUUGGUCGUGCCACUGGUAUGUACUGGUCUUACUGAUUCCUCCUUCCUGAUGAACCGUAAUGCCAUUAAUUUGGUGUUGCGGGGAGACUGGACUGUUACUUUGAAAAAAUUAGAGUGUUUAAAGCAGGCUUACGCUGGAAUCAAUUAGCAUGGAAUAAUGAAAUAGGACGAUCGAUCCUAUUUUGUUAGUUUCUAGGAUUGACGUAAUGAUUAAUAGGGAUAGUUGGGGGCAUUAGUAUUCAAUUGUCAGAGGUGAAAUUCUUGGAUUUAUUGAAGACUAACUACUGCGAAAGCAUUUGCCAAGGAUGUUUUCAUUAAUCAAGAACGAAAGUUAGGGGAUCGAAGACGAUCAGAUACCGUCGUAGUCUUAACCAUAAACUAUGCCGACUAGGGAUCGGAUGAUGUUAAUUUUAUAAUGACUCAUUCGGCGCCUUACG